GUAAUGGAAAGCCAAAUACACAGUCAGUACAAUUCAAAACAAAAUGAUGUAUACAUUUAGAAAGUGCAAAUUAUUUACGAACAGAUCCUAGUUUUUAGGUCCAUUUAUUGAUUUCAUAUAAUUCCUACAUUCUUGGCUGUACAGGAAUGCACCUCUUAUACCUUCUGAAGUGCCUCAUGGAACAAUAAAAUAUCCGCUGAAAGUCUAUUUAUGAGUAAUUUACUCAAUGUUGUUUUGAGAAAACGGAUCGUACACGUUCUAACACUCUUAUUCUUCAGAAACCUGUUAAACCAGAGGGAGCUGUGUAAGUAACGCAUUGGAAUCUGUGGAUGAAGAUGGUGCCCGGUGCUCAUCUUCAAUAAGCGUACUUACGCUGAUCAGCCACAAAGCAACACAGACAGACAUGCAUCGCACACACACAGAAAAAGAGAAAACUAUCUAUAUAUAUUACCUUUUGUAGAAAUACUUUAAUCAAAUGUAUCAAUAGUUUAGUAUAGUUCCAAAAAGCCUCUCUUGUCAUUAAUCAGAAUAACAAAGAAUGUGUCUUUGCACGUGUUAGAGUUAACGACCACUUGGUAAUUUGUAUUUCUCUAUGACCGCGUCAGCGUGAGGACAUGUGAACGGGUCCCUUGUUGUUCUCACACAGAUGAGCUGCGUCUUUGUUGGGCCGUCCGGCUCACAGCUUCUCCGGUGAUGAGUUCCUCCGCAUGCAUCCAGCCUCCCUCAGUGGAAGAGGACCCCCACCAACUCCACCUCAUAAUUACCGCUAAUCUGGACAAUGAAGCUCACAUGAUUACCAUAUUAAUGGUCUUGAUGGUGAUGCAGAUAAUCCAUGGGGGGGUUCUAUGAAGGAGCAGGAGCCGGACUGUUGACAAGAACAAAACUUAACCCGUUUCAAUACUUCAUUAGCCUCUUUCUCCUUCGACGCUCUCAUUCACUCCGUUUCUCUCCUCUCUCCCUCUGCCAGGAGGCAGGAGGGUUCAGGAGGAAGGCGCUGACGCUCCACCUGCUGGCUCCCUGUGGCCGGGUGAUUGGGAGGCAUUUCUUUCUCCCUAUUCUUGAUAUUACUCCAGCUGUCUUGUUGCUCCACGUGCUUGGAUUUUAAGUAAGACAUUUUUGUGGGUUUUAACAACAGGUGGUUCUUACAGUGGUCGUUUCAGCUGGAAAAAAGUUGUUUAGGACUCUCAGAAAAAUUGCUGGAGGUUAAAAAGGGGAAGGUGACAAAUCAAAAGACAAAGCAAAAGGUUGUUGACUGUUUCAGCCUCGAAUAAACAGGUGUGGUGUGCAAAAACAAUCCCAGCUGGAAGGCCUACGCCAACUCUAAGGUAAUAGAGACUGGGAGCAGUUCAAGCCACAGCUGGUGACUCUAACUUUUAUUAUAUUUGAUCAAACUGUCACUACAUCCUGCCAGUAGUACAAGAGACAGAUAAUCUGUGAAAAAAGGAUACGUUUCCUCUGCAUCUUUUAGAGCUCCUGAUGGCGUUUGGAAAAUUCCACCGCGAACGAUGAAAAGCAACAAAUCAGAGGCGAUUGCAAAACAUACAUUUCUUGAUUGGUUUUGUAUUUUUAGAGGGAAGUGGUUGUUGAAGACAUAAGGCAGAUUUGUUGUGGUGCUCGUCCUCGCCCCUGAAGGAGAGGAAGAGGCGUCUGACUGCAGAGACACUGGCAUGGUGUCAGGAGACAGGCCUCAUUACCUGGGCGUAACCGGAGAUAGAGAACAAUGCCUCACCAGCCUGACCUGUGACCUUUUGCAGCCUGCCCUGUGACCUGCUGCCCAGGUACCAUCAGAAGAGGGCACGGAGGAUAGAAAACCAUGUGAUCGUUAGUGGAGUGGACUUCCUCUAUCACUAAGCAAGGUGGAGCGUGCUGCGGCCUGCAAGCAGGACCUUGUUUCAUGAGUGGCAACUGUUGUAGGGAUUAUGAGGGAAUACAAUAUCCACCUGGUUGGAUUUGAGUCAAAUCCCCCCCCACACACCAGGACAGAAAUAAACUCCAAUACUGUACUAAAGUACAAUUUUGAUGGUACUUUACUCGACUAUUAUAAUGUUAUUGCUAAAAAUAUAACAUACAUACCAAACAAUUGUGUGUAUAAAUCCAAUAAGUCAAUGUUUAACAAAACAAGUCACAGAAGUCCUUUUUCUGUGCAAUGUUUAUUUUUACACGGUACAUUUUGUGAUAAUACUUCUGAUAAUUAUCACAAUGUGUUUAUGUGAUAAACAAUGCAAUAGAAUAAAGCCACUUGAGGACAACAUAACAUACAAUAUUCUACAUUUUUCUUACUGUGAACAAAUCCCACGAAAGAACAGUGUGU
This is a non-coding RNA of Gasterosteus aculeatus aculeatus (three-spined stickleback), 2311 nucleotides long. The record is from RefSeq and is a predicted model, not a curated record. Lineage: Eukaryota; Metazoa; Chordata; Actinopteri; Perciformes; Gasterosteidae.